Molecule: non-coding RNA, 139 nt
Organism: Microbotryomycetes sp. JL221
Lineage: Eukaryota; Fungi; Basidiomycota; Microbotryomycetes
Source: the annotation of a GenBank genome assembly
GUGAAUUCAGCGAAUCUCCGGAUCGCGACCUCUCACUUUUCACACUGUGCACCUAGAAUUCUUGGCGAGCCGCUAGGCGAACCCAAGAUUUUUAUUUAAACACGAGUUGAUGUAUGUCAAUAAAAUAUAAAACAAAACA